UGGGGAAUUUUGGACAAUGGACGCAAGCCUGAUCCAGCAAUGCCGCGUGCAGGAUGAAGGCCUUCGGGUUGUAAACUGCUUUUGUACGGAGCGAAAAGGUCUGCCCUAAUACGGUGGGCUCAUGACGGUACCGUAAGAAUAAGCACCGGCUAACUACGUGCCAGCAGCCGCUGUAAUACGUAGGGUGCGAGCGUUAAUCGGAAUUACUGGGCGUAAAUCGUGCGCAGGCGGUUAUGCAAGACAGAUGUGAAAUCCCCGGGCUCAACCUGGGAACUGCAUUUGUGACUGUAUAGCUAGAGUACGGCAGAGGGGGAUGGAAUUCCGCGUGUAGCAGUGAAAUGCGUAGAUAUGCGGAGGAACACCGGUGGCGAAGGCAGUCCCCUGGGCCUGUACUGACGCUCAUGCACGAAAGCGUGGGGAGCAAACA
Molecule: ribosomal RNA, 427 nt
Filed under: uncultured bacterium
Lineage: Bacteria
Description: bacterial SSU rRNA
Rfam family: Bacterial small subunit ribosomal RNA
Source: RNAcentral